AGCUCCGGUGGCCUAGUGGUUAGAGCGUCCGUCCCAGAUGCGCGAGAUCGUGGGUUCCUACCCCACCCGAGUCA
This is a non-coding RNA of Potamilus streckersoni, 74 nucleotides long. The record is from the annotation of a GenBank genome assembly. NCBI's taxonomy places the organism in Eukaryota, Metazoa, Mollusca, Bivalvia, Unionida, Unionidae.